CCUACGGGGGGCAGCAGUCGGGAAUAUUGCGCAAUGGAGGAAACUCUGACGCAGUGACGCCGCGUGCAGGAAGAAGGUUUUCGGAUGGUAAACUGCUGUAGACAGGGAAGAAAAAAGACAGAACCUGGAGAAUAAGCGCCGGCUAACUACGUGCCAGCAGCCGCGGUAAUCCGUAGGGAGCAAGCGUUAUCCGGAUUUAUGGGGUGUAAAGGGUGCGUAGACGGAGAAGAAAGUUAGUGGUGAAAUCCCUCGGCUGAACUGCGGAACUGCAACUAAAACUCCUUCCCUUGAGUACUGGAGAGGCAAGUGGAAUUCCUAGUGUCGCGGUUACAUGCGUAGAUCUUAG
Molecule: ribosomal RNA, 346 nt
Filed under: uncultured bacterium
Lineage: Bacteria
Description: partial 16S ribosomal RNA
Rfam family: Bacterial small subunit ribosomal RNA
Source: RNAcentral